Long non-coding RNA from Pezoporus occidentalis (night parrot), 1193 nucleotides. RefSeq lists it as uncharacterized. The record is from RefSeq and is a predicted model, not a curated record. Lineage: Eukaryota; Metazoa; Chordata; Aves; Psittaciformes; Psittacidae. The transcript has 4 exons.
UUUCUUUUAAGCUUCUAUUAACUGGGAAUUUUCAACUGGCUAUAAUCUGGCCAAAUUGGGUGAAUCUUCAGAGGGUGAAUAAAUGAUGAAUGUAAAUAGCUGCCUUUUUUUCCUGUGUCAGAAUUGCUGCUCCUAAGCAUAAGAACAGUAUCUACUUUUUGGAAAAAGGCAUUGUGAAAACCUCUUCUGGCCUUUGAUCCUGUUCUGCGAAGCUCACAUGUGACCACGUAUAUUUACAGCCUUCACAGCCAGCACUGGUGGGAUCUGUGUCAGGACAUCUGUGAGCUGGAAUGUCUCACCAGUUCAAAUAACUAUUUUAUAGCUACAUGAGAGGCUUUCACUUCUCAGGCACUUACUUCUCUUCAUCCACUGCUCCUCCCUCACAAGUUGAUCGCUUGCUGUCCUCAGCUUGCACAGUAACCCCAGGAAAAUCUUCCCAUGUGUUCCCUAACAGCUGUUGUACUCCACAUUGGGUCUUAGACAGGCUCUGACCUGCGAAUGUCGUUGGAGCUGUGACCCAUCCCUUGUUCAGCUCAGCACAGCUUGCCUAAGUAGAUGUGAGACACUUGGGACCAAAUCCCCAAGAGGGAGCUACAACAUGAGGGAAACGCAAAGCUCAAGAGACAGCAAAGAAAAAUAUCUUGCAGCAGCCUAGUGAAGAAGGACUAUACCUGGGAAGAAGAAAAAAGGGGAAAGCAAGCCUCAGCUUCUUGUACCUUCUUCAGGGUUGGCUUAUGGAUUUUACAUUUAAAAGUCACAGAACAAAAGGCACUAUCAACUGGGUUUAAUUUCCUUUUCUGACUGCAGACCUCUCUCACACCUCCACAUAUCCUGCCUUAAUCACUACUCUGUAGUAAAAGCCAUGAGGAGGCCAUUAAUCCCUUUCCCACACUGACCUGAAAUGGGGCAAAUUUACAGGAAACAAUUAAGGAUUUUUUGUUUUGAAAGACAGCAUGAUUACCUAUAAAACACUGACACGUGCACUGUACGCCACCAGAAAAAAAAAAAGAAAAAAUUGCCUUAAUCAUUGAUGUGUGGCUAGAAGUCUUUUCUAAGGCAAGAGAAAAUAAGAGAGAUCUUUCCCCCUUGAGAAGAGGCUCACACAGUCUUGAACCAUGUACAGCUCUUGAGCAGGUCAACGAGAAUUUGUAGGGGCAUCUUGUUUGUGUAGUUAGUUCUGGUGUCAUGAGUUG